This 206-nucleotide ribosomal RNA is filed under the name uncultured bacterium. RNAcentral's name for it is "partial 16S ribosomal RNA". It matches the Rfam family "Bacterial small subunit ribosomal RNA", at positions 568 to 774 of the family's 1533-position model. The record is from RNAcentral.
UGUGUAGGUCGUUUAUUAAGUUGAAUAUUAAAACUUAAAGCUUAACUUUAUUUUGUAUUCAAUACUGAUAAACUAGAGUUUGGUAGAGGAUUGUGGAAUUUCUAGUGUAGAAAUAAAAUUCAUAAAUAUUAGAAGGACCAUCAGAGGCGAAGGCGACAAUCUGGAUCAAUACUGACGCUGAAACACGAAAGCGUGGGGAGCAAACA